AAAAGAGUAUGGGCAAUUAAGAAGGAAAGAAGAUCAUGGCUGGUGUGGUUAUUGAUAAAUGCAGGUCCCCUUUAGGUACCAGAAAGUUGCUCUGAGGUCUCCCUGGAGCCUUCUCUUCUCCAUGCUGAACAGUCCCAAAUCUCUCACCCUGUCUUCACAGGAGAAGUGCUCCAGCCCUCUGAUUGCCUUUGUGGCCUCCUCUGGACUCAUUCCAACAGGUGCAUGGACUCAGGACUCCAGGAGAGGUGCAUGAAUAUGGUGCAACACACAGGAGCUCCAAAUGACAGCUCAUGUCACAAUAAAUAUCUUUCCUAAGGUUUUGGCAUACCUGAAGGCUUCGGUUGAAGGUGGAAGCUUCAUUUUGGCCUGGGGAUAGCCUCUGAAAGAUGCAGCAACUCCACAGCAGAAUAAUGGCUUAUCUGCACUGCUAAUUUAAAUACCAGAAGGCUGUGGCAUGUCAGUGUAAUACUAUGGUGAAGAUACUUGGGGAAUUACACAAUUACACGUGCCCCACUUAAUAAUGUGACUCGUUAGUCAACAGAGCCUUUGCUGGUGGGAAUUGUCUGCAUCUGCCUUCAUGGAAAAAGUCUUACUUCUUAUCUAACUAUGGAAAAGAGAGAUAUUGUUUUAUUCAGUAAGACUGAUGCCAUCAUUUAAAUGGUGACAGCUGGAGGAUUUCUGGGUGAAAUCUGACAAUGAUUACCAUGAAAUCCAGUGUUCAAGCAAAAACGAUUGCCCAUAUUUUAUAUCUAUAACAUACAAGGAUACAGGCUAUAUCUGACUAGCUUCUUUUGACAAAUCAAAAGUUUACUAUUCAGUAUAGUAACAGUGCUGUAAAGUGUCAUCAGGACAAGGGCAUUAGGUAUUGCAAUGUAAAUGUCCACAUAUAAUCUGACUAAUGCAUGUAUUUUGUAAGCAAUUACUAUCGUUUGUCCUUUGACAGGGCUUUC
This is a non-coding RNA of Zonotrichia albicollis (white-throated sparrow), 950 nucleotides long. The record is from RefSeq and is a predicted model, not a curated record. Lineage: Eukaryota; Metazoa; Chordata; Aves; Passeriformes; Passerellidae.